AGCAAGUCAUUCUGUUCGGGGGGGGGGUGUUAAUCACGACCGGAAUAUAGGGGAUACUUGGAUAAUACACUCAAUUUUGUUUCUAAAAGGGUUUAUCUAACGAAUUUAAUAUUAAACACACAGCGCAUAUUUUCCUCGCAUGGAUAUGGUGAUUGCUCAAUCAGCUUGAUGACGACAAAAGCAAACAACGACAGACAAUACGUAUCUUGACACGGAGAAGCUCAUGAAGACGGUCCCUUAUUCUUGGCGGCUCGGAACAUUCAUUGCCACCCUGGCCAUGGUGACGGACCAGCCCCAAGUAGCUGUAAGCCGGGGUUUUUAUCCUGCCAGUUCGGAUGAAGAUCAGGUGCCCUAAUCAAGGAGCCCGGUGGAACACGGAGAAAAGGAAAUUAACUGAAAUAAGUAGUUAACGGACUGGACCAUGGCACUUUAUAGAGAUGGCAUUGGUGCUGUUUCUCCAGUGCAUUAAGGUGCCUGCUGAAGUCCAUGUCUCAGAUACAUAUAGGAAGGUUGUCGUGGACCCUGAGGUCAAUGGUAACUUUCAUCACUGCCUUUGCUAAAGGAUGAUUUCUGAGAUACAGGAGAAACAAAAGACUGCAAACCCUGACAAAUGCAGCACCAAUCUGCUGUAGGAAAUCAGUGGGUCUUCAGGGUUUCAAAAUGUUGUUCAAAAAAGUCUUUCCUUCAUGGAUGUCGCUUGACCCAAGGAGUUCCUCCAGCAAUGUACACAAAAUGCUACGGGAAUUCAGCAAGUCUCCUCCAACUGUUGUGUGUAUUGCUCAAAUUUUCCAGCAUCUUCAGAAUCUCCUGUGUUAAUGAGUUUCUCUAGUAUAUUCCUUGUUGUUCUAAGAAAUGGAAAAUGGAUUGUCUUUUCUAGGGUCUCACUUUUAACUAGAGUGGCAUUGUAAAGUGGGCUGGGAAGACCUCAAGAUAAUCUUUGUUGUGUAGACAUUGGUGUAAGGCCCAUCCUUUCACGUGCUCCAGUGCAUCAGAAGAAGAAGACUUGAAGUUCAGCCAGCAUCGUCUGUACACUGCAAUUCAACUAUGGAAGUUGGAGUGACACUGGUGCUGGAGUGGAGUGGAGUGGAGUGGAGUGGAGUGUUGUCACUGCAUAUACACCCGUGCCCAGCAUAUCUGCAUUUGGUGGCCACUAUAUUAAGUAUCUCCUGCACCAAAUCAAGUGGCCACUGAGUGUAUGUUUGUGGUCUUCUGCUGCUGUAGCCCAUCCACUUCAAGGUUCAACAUGUUGUGUGUUCAGAGGUGCUCUUCUGCACACCACUGUUCUAAUGUGUUAUUUGAGUUACUGUCACCUUCCUGUCAAAUUGAACCAGUCUGGCCGUUCUCCUCUGACCUCUCUCAUUAACAAGGUGAUUUUGCCCCCAGAACUGCCACUCACUGGGCAUCUUAUGUUUUUUUUCACCAAUCUGUGUAAACUCUAAAGACUGUUGUACAUGAAAAUCCCAGGAAAUCAACAGUUUCUGAGAUACUCAAACCACCCCAUCUGGCACCAACAAUCAUUCCACGGUUAAAGUCACUUAGAUCACAUUUCUUCCCCAUUCUGAUGUUUGAAAUGAACCUAUUGAUUAUGUCUGCAUGCUUUUAUGCAUUGAGUUGCUGCUUCAUAACUGGCUGAUUAGAUAUUUGGAUUAAUACAAGUGUAUUUAAUAAAGUAGCCACUGAAUGUAUAUCAAUGACCUUUAUAGAAACAUAGAAACAUAGAAAAUAGGUGCAGGAGUAGGCCAUUCGGCCCUUCGAGCCUGCACCACCAUUUAUUAUGAUCAUGGCUGAUCAUCCAACUCAGAACCCCGCCCCAGCCUUCCCUCCAUACCCCCUGAUCACUUUAGCCACAAGGGCCAUA
This is a long non-coding RNA of Mobula hypostoma (lesser devil ray), 1858 nucleotides long. RefSeq lists it as uncharacterized. Lineage: Eukaryota; Metazoa; Chordata; Chondrichthyes; Myliobatiformes; Myliobatidae. The record is from RefSeq and is a predicted model, not a curated record. The transcript has 3 exons.